GACGUAUUAGGACUUGCUCCGAAAGCGUUUGGAGGCCGCAGAGACUAGUGGGUAGCGACUGUUUACUAAAAACACAGGUCCGUGCCAAGUCGCAAGACGAUGUAUACGGACUGACGCCUGCCCGGUGCUGGAAGGUUAAGAGGACCGGUUAGCCGCAAGGCGAAGCUGAGAAUUUAAGCCCCAGUAAACGGCGGUGGUAACUAUAACCAUCCUAAGGUAGCGAAAUUCCUUGUCGGGUAAGUUCCGACCUGCACGAAUGGCGUAACGACUUCCCAACUGUCUCAACCGCGAACUCGGCGAAAUUGCAUUACGAGUAAAGAUGCUCGUUACGCGCAGCAGGACGGAAAGACCCCGUGACCUUUACUACAGCUUGGUAUUGGUGUUCGGUGUGGCUUGUGUAGGAUAGGUGGGAGACUUUGAAGCGGUGACGCCAGUUACCGUGGAGUCAUUGUUGAAAUACCACUCUGGUCACUCUGGAUAUCUAACUUCGAACCGUAAUCCGGUUCAGGGACAGUGCCUGGUGGGUAGUUUAACUGGGGCGGUUGCCUCCCAAAAAGUAACGGAGGCGCCCAAAGGUUCCCUCAACCUGGUUGGCAAUCAGGUGGCGAGUGUAAGUGCACAAGGGAGCUUGACUGUGAGACUGACAGGUCGAGCAGGGACGAAAGUCGGGACUAGUGAUCCGGCAGUGGCUUGUGGAAGCGCUGUCGCUCAACGGAUAAAAGGUACCUCGGGGAUAACAGGCUGAUCUUGCCCAAGAGUCCAUAUCGACGGCAUGGUUUGGCACCUCGAUGUCGGCUCGUCGCAUCCUGGGGCUGGAGUAGGUCCCAAGGGUUGGGCUGUUCGCCCAUUAAAGCGGUACGCGAGCUGGG
Molecule: ribosomal RNA, 869 nt
Filed under: Microbacterium paraoxydans
Lineage: Bacteria; Bacillati; Actinomycetota; Actinomycetes; Micrococcales; Microbacteriaceae
Description: partial 23S ribosomal RNA
Rfam family: Bacterial large subunit ribosomal RNA
Source: RNAcentral